GAUGAAGAACGUAGCGAAAUGCGAUACGUAAUGUGAAUUGCAGAAUUCAGUGAAUCAUCGAAUCUUUGAACGCACAUUGCACUCCUUGGUAUUCCGAGGAGUAUGCCUGUUUCAGUAUCAUGAGCACUCUCACAUCUAACCUUUGGGUUAAAAUGUAGAAUUGGGAUGCGCCGGUUAUUAUAACGGCCCUCCUAAAAUUCAGUUCUUGGCUGCUUCCUACUACAGCAGUUUGGCCUAAUAGUUUUGAGUCUUCGAUUCAAAUCUUUGGCUAACAUUUGCUUCAGGAUGUCAGUCUUGAUAUACAGAAAUCUCAUUCAAACUUUGAUCUGAAAUCAGGUAGGGCUACCCGCUGAACUUAAGCAUAUCAAUAAGCGGAGGA
Molecule: unclassified non-coding RNA, 379 nt
Filed under: soil metagenome
Description: partial contains 5.8S ribosomal RNA, internal transcribed spacer 2, and large subunit ribosomal RNA
Rfam family: 5.8S ribosomal RNA (bases 1-120)
Source: RNAcentral